This 24-nucleotide non-coding RNA is filed under the name Cricetulus griseus (Chinese hamster). The record is from RNAcentral. Lineage: Eukaryota; Metazoa; Chordata; Mammalia; Rodentia; Cricetidae.
UUAAAGAGGUGGAAUUUAGUAGCA